AAGAUGUGUCUUCAGUCGACGUUUGAAGACCGUGAGUGACUCUGCUGUUCUGACAUCCAGUGGAAGUUCAUUCCACCACCUUGGUGCUCCAGCACAGAGAAGAGUCUGGAUGUCUGUUUUCUGUGGGUUUUGAGGGAUGGAGGUUCGAGCCGAGCCGUACUGGAAGCUCUAAGAGCUCUUGGUGCAGAUCUGGCUUUGACCAUCGCCAUCAGGUAUGAAGGUGCUGGUCCGUUUUUUGCCUUGUAGGCCAGCGUCAGGGUUUUGAAUCGGAUGCGGGCGGCAACAGGAAGCCAGUGGAGGGAACGCAGCAAAGGAGUCACAUGACUGAACUUCGGAAGAUUGAAGACGAGUCGUGCUGCAGCAUUCUGAAUUAACUGUAGUGGUUUGGUGGCUCGCAAUGGAAGACCAGCCAGUAGAGAGUUGCAGUAGUCAAGUAUAGCUGAAUGCCGACAAUGGGAUCAGUGGGAACAUCUUAUAAACCCGGCAAACGUAUACAUGACGGAUGCUGCCAACGUUGCCAUCUUUCCUUUGGAAAGUGGGAACUUCAGUGGAUUGGAUCUGACCGUGCACGCUCAUUAUGAGGUACACUCAUAUGAGGUCAUUAUGAGGUUACCACUCGGCAUUUUUCUUUCCUCCAACCUUCCACGUCCUCGCUGCCAAACUGCCUCCGCGACCAAGCACACCUCGAUCUUUUCAAAGAAAUCCUGGAUGGAAGGCUGGUGUCCACCAGGGUUAUUGUGGUGAGAUUUGUGGAGGCAGAGGCGAGUGUGGCUUGUAUCCUACAGAAAGUAAAGGUGGCAAUGGCGAACGAUGAGGAAUAUGUCCUGACUGACGUUCAUGGAAAUGAGAUCAUGGAGACCGAGGGAACAACAGGGUCAUUAUACUGGAGGCAAAAUUCAAGGAAGAUCCAUGCUUUAGAAAAAACAUCAUAUCAGCAGUGGCAGACCAGGAGGACACGUACACAGUCAUUUUCCCCACAGUUAAAACAUGAGCUAAAACUAUGGAAUUAUCCGUUGAGAAUUGUUAACAACUCAUUGUUAUAAAAUGUGGUGUACCC
Molecule: long non-coding RNA, 1057 nt
Organism: Astyanax mexicanus (Mexican tetra)
Lineage: Eukaryota; Metazoa; Chordata; Actinopteri; Characiformes; Acestrorhamphidae
Exons: 4
Source: RefSeq, a predicted model, not a curated record